Dinoponera quadriceps is the source of this 461-nucleotide long non-coding RNA. RefSeq lists it as uncharacterized. The transcript is spliced from 2 exons. The record is from RefSeq and is a predicted model, not a curated record. NCBI's taxonomy places the organism in Eukaryota, Metazoa, Arthropoda, Insecta, Hymenoptera, Formicidae.
GUAUUCUCAGAACGCGGUUUCCAUAUAACGCGGAGCUGAAAUUGCGACAGCCCUCCUAUAACGCGGUACUCUUACAGCGCGGUUUCCGUUCAACAACGUCCCAUCAGUUCUUUCCGUGCACCCAAUGAAUGAUUUUAACCACUUGCGGUGGAAAGACGUGCUACGCACGUCGUAAUGCUUUUGUCGCAGAAUCGCCAACGACGUGAUAUACACGUCGUCAGGCAAUUGUCACAGAAACGACGUGCGUGGCACGUCGGCUGAGAUUGCUGGCACUGUUCGAGCGACAGCGAAGAAGCGCAAAAUCGCUCCGUGGCACUCAAACGGUUUAUUUGUGGUUUAUAAUUGGACAACAUUACACAAUACUAUUUGCAUGAUGUCAAACACAAAAGAAACAAGGAAAGGAUUAAAAAGAAAGUUUAUAUCUCUUGAAGAUAAAAUCCAAAUUUUAAAUCGUUUAGAAG